CCUACGGGAGGCAGCAGUGGGGAAUAUUGCGCAAUGGGCGAAAGCCUGACGCAGCGACGCCGCGUGAGGGAUGACGGCCUUCGGGUUGUAAACCUCUUUCAGCAGGGAAGAAGCGAAAGUGACGGUACCUGCAGAAGAAGCACCGGCUAACUACGUGCCAGCAGCCGCGGUAAUACGUAGGGUGCGAGCGUUGUCCGGAAUUAUUGGGCGUAAAGAGCUCGUAGGCGGCCUGUCGCGUCGGAUGUGAAAACUCGGGGCUUAACCCCGAGCCUGCAUUCGAUACGGGCAGGCUAGAGUUCGGCAGGGGAGACUGGAAUUCCUGGUGUAGCGGUGAAAUGCGCAGAUAUCAGGAGGAACACCGGUGGCGAAGGCGGGUCUCUGGGCCGAUACUGACGCUGAGGAGCGAAAGCGUGGGGAGCGAACAGGAUUAGAUACCCUGGUAGUCCACGCCGUAAACGUUGGGAACUAGGUGUGGGCGACAUUCCACGUCGUCCGUGCCGCAGCUAACGCAUUAAGUUCCCCGCCUGGGGAGUACGGCCGCAAGGCUAAAACGUCAAAGGAAUUGACGG
RNAcentral lists this ribosomal RNA (569 nucleotides) under uncultured bacterium. Its description in RNAcentral is "bacterial SSU rRNA". It matches the Rfam family "Bacterial small subunit ribosomal RNA", at positions 338 to 916 of the family's 1533-position model. The record is from RNAcentral.